CAUGUUAGUGUGCUGGUUAACCACACACGCUCCACUAACGACUUUGAGAAUGCAAAUAUCACAAUUGCUAUCUAAUUAAAAUCUAUUUAGUGAAAGCGUUUCCUCACCAUCAUUUUCAUGAAUCGGAGAGAAACCUUAUGACACUUAGAUUUUGUGGUGUAUGUGUUCCUAUCCAUGUGAAUUUGGCAUAACCACAAGAGGAGAUUAGUGACAAAUCCAAACUCAUAUGGACUGAACUUGUUCAAUCUUAACUUCUUGCCACCUGGUAGCGCAAGGGCCUACCAUUUCUUCCAUGUAGUUAUGCAAACGAUUGAGAACUCAUAGAACUCAAAUGCAUAGUCAACUUUAACUGGAAUGGGAACAGAAACAAGAAUAUGUCAACACGAUAGGUUACAAACCUCAAGUCGUGUGCCAACGAUAAACAGUAUGUUUUAUUGAUUAGUUCUUGAGACUUUUCAAGAUCUUUAAGACUCCCACUGACCUCUUGACAUAUAAGAUUCUCUUGUUAAGAACCAUUCCUUGACAAAACAAAUAUUCAAAAGUUAGUGCAAUUCUUAUCAAGACAAACACUUCACAAAAUUGGCCUUGGUUGGUCUUUAUUUUAUCCAAAACAUCACAACUCACCAAUUUCAAAUGUACAAGAGCAGAAAACAUUUUACUCUACAUUUGAUAAGUGUCAUAAACCUUCUUAAGAUUAUGUCACUCAAGUUACAAUCUUGGAUUAUUACUCUGAGAUUCAAUUUGGAACGAAGUAUGGUUCAUCUUUUGAUUUAACCAUUUCAACAAUUCACAAUUCCUCUUCUUAGUCAAACAAAUGCACUAAGAUGUCGUUAGAUGAUCAAUUGUGAUAUGGUUUUUCAUAAUCAUUAAGAUGAUCAUAAAACAUGAUAUUGAAGUACUCUCCUAUCUUUUGAGGGUGGAGAAACUUUUAUCUUUCUGCCUAAUUUGAUUCUUCUCAUUCAUCCUGCCAUACACUGAAACUUUUCCAAUGUUUUAGAAUUAUACUUAAACUUGUAAGCACAACCAUAUUUACUAAACUUUAGUAAAUCAUGACGAAUAGCCUUAUCGUUCUUUGUGGUGGAUUCGAUCAGCGCAUAACCAAGUGUACCCGAUCUCCUAGUCCUUGACUUGACUCACAUAUACAUGUGAACAAGGAAUUAGUCUUAAUUUCCUAAAGAUGAAAAUUCUCAUUCAUCAUACAACACAAGUUGCAUGAUUCCAAGUUUCUAUCCAUCUAAAACUUGGGUGAUGAGAAUCUUUCCUUAUUUUUUGAUAAAUUAUGACACUGCCACAAACGAAAGAAUCAAAUCUAUUUUCCAAUAUUUAUAUCAAUGGAAUCAUAUAAACAACAAUUUUCACAAAUGCCAUUGUAAGGAUACUUAGAAUAAAUAAAAUCAAAACUUUUCUUUUAUUUUAAAACUUGCAGAAAAACUUAUCCUUACAAUGCAAAAUGCAAAUACAUAUGAAAAUUAUGUUACUAUGCAUUCCUAAGCAAUUUAUCAUAACUCUUAAGCAGCAGCUCAAAAUUCUGAUCAUCGAACCAUGCAAUCAAAAUCCAUCUAUUCACGAUCAGAAUCAACUUACUCUUCCUUUAAGCUUCCUCUUUUUUCUUUGAUUCUUAAAACAUCAAAAUACGACCUAGUCACAUCAUGUAAUAAGAGUCUCAAAAUAGGAACUUAAUAGAGUUAGAUGGUGGACUUUACCCGAAGUAGAGUCAAACUUUUUGACUUUACCAUCCUUAUGAUCUUUCAGGUAAAUAGGGAAGCUACGCAACCAAUGCCCCUUCGUUUGGCAAUAGAAACAUAUGGACUCUUUGGGAAUGGUACACGGGACUAUCUCAUAAUUAGCUUUUCUAUUUACCAUUUGGUCAACCGAGUUGACUAUGGCUGAUUCCUUUCCAUUGGGAAGAGAAAGUUUUUCUGGAUUUUCAAUGUUAUCAUUGUCAAUGUCCAUGGAAGUUUGGGAAGUCGAUCUUCCAAUAAAAUUUUCUUUACCAGUGCCCUAAAUCACUGUUGAUUCAGCAGCAAAUUUCAAGGUAACUGGGAUGAACAUUUACCCAUGGUAGAGUAUUCCUACAACAAUAGUUAACAUUCAAGCAUUAAGAUGGCAUCUUAUCAAGAUUUGUACGUUCAUAAGUGUCGUACACAGUCUUGUUGGCUUGAGGCCGGAGAAAAGCAGUUUAUGGGCCCCGAGAUAGUCCAUAAACUGCCAAAAAGCUAAAAGUGAUUAUAAAAAGGAUGUUGGCAGCUCAGGAUUGCAAAAAGAGCUAUCCUGACAAGAAGCGACGACCGAUGACAUUCAAAGUUAGAGAUUCGGUAUUGCUCAAAGUCUCACCGUGGAAGGGACUUAUACGAUUUGGAAAGAGAGGAAACCUGAGUCCAAGAUUCAUUAGAUCAUUUAAAGUUCUUCAGAGGAUUGGGAACCAAGCUUACAAGAUGGAAUUACCAUAAGAACUAGAUGAUAUUCAUAACACUUUCCAUGUGUGCUAUUUGAGGAAGUUCACAGGAGAAGUUCCCGAUAUAAUUUUACUUUCGAAGUUAAGGAUGGAUAGAAAUAAGAGGCUAAUCAAAGAGCCCGAGGCAAUUGUUUACCGUAAGACAAAGAAGUUGUGACACAAGGAGGUCAACUUGGCGCUUAUGCAAUGGAAACAUUCGAAUGUGCCGAACCUCACCUGGGAAAUAGAGAGUGACAUGAUGAGUCGCUAUCCACAUAUGUUUGCUGAUGCAUGAUUCCGGGACGGAAUCAUCCUAAGGAGGAGAGAAUUGUAACUCCCGUGUUUCUAGGCUAAGCAUUAAUAGUAUUAUUUAAUAGUUAGGGUUAACAAUUGUAACCUAUUUUGCAGUAAUGAAGAAGAAUUAUUUGAGUAUUAUGUGAAUUAUGUGAUUUUAUGUGCAUUAUACUUGCUAUUAACGAUGUAAUAAAAUAAUAAUAAAAAUAAGCAUCAAAAAUAAAAUAACAGAUAUCUAUGAAGAAAGUUGAAAUAGUCGUAAUGGGGAUUUCGGGGAUAUAAGGAACGUUGAAAUCCGACAUAUAACGAAGUUAUGACCUAUCAAAGUUUUGCGACAAAACCGGCACGAUGUUAUGUAUCGUAAAAAGUCAUUUUGGUAUAAAAUAAUUUUUAGCCUUAGCGAUCUAAACGAAAGUCGUAGUAUAUGUUAAACCGAGAGCAUACAUAAAUAGAACGUCCAACUCUGAUUUCGUAUGAGUAAGUUAUGAUUUUUCUAAGAUUUGGCAUAGCAGUGCACAUCCUGGAAGUCGAAUUUUAGAUCGAUCGAUUUUUAGCCGACACAAUCUAAACAAGAAUUUAAUAUCUCGUUAAUAAGAACUAAAAGCUAUAAAGACAGGCGAAAACGGACGUCGGAUAACAAAGUUAUGAAUUUUUAACGGACUUUGUCUAUCUAAGCCUUUCAAAAUAUAACUUUAAAAAUAAAUUAAAAAUUAGCCGACGGAGUCCAAACGAAAGUUGUAGAUUACAUUGCCACCUACGCGUGGAUAUAAAGAACGUCAAAAAUGGAGCUCGUAUGCGAAAGUUACGGAAUUUAGAAGUUAACGGGAUUAGGAUGCAAGGGUGACAUGUGGCACAAGUACGCCCCACGCAGCCUACAUUACUUCGCGCGUACUCGCAUAUGCGAUCCCAACUUUCUCCAUGUGGAUGUGGCACAAGUACGCCCCACGCAGCCUAGAUUACUUCGCGCGUACUCGCAUAUGCGAUCCCAACUUUCUCCAUGUGGCGCCAUCCAGAACCUUGCUUUCUCCCCACGGCCUCGCAUGUGGAGCUGAAACCUGGCUUCGUACGUGCAGCAUAGCCCCUCGUACGCGCUACGUACUUCGAAGUUAUGCCCAAUGUAGUCCGAGGAGUUUAGCUGUAAAUAGAUGCGAGAGCACCCUCAUUUCUUCAUACCGUUCCCAUUAUUUCUCUAUAAAUACUCCAAAACUAUCCCUCCCCUUCCCUAGUACUUCCUAAGUGCUAGAGGCGAGUCUUGGAGCGCCAGAAGGCUCCGAGAAGUAGAGCUUUCAGCUCAAAAGUUCUGUCCCCACAGAGCUCGGUUCCUAGCCAAACCUCCUUGUAUGUGAGUUAUGUUUACUCUACUUUAUGUAUAACUUAUGUUUAAGGUCAUUGUCGUUAUUAUGAACCUAUAAACAAUAUAUGUGCUAAGUAUUAUAAAAUAUAAAGUGUUAUUAUAAUACCUUUUAACUACUCAUGGUACGAGGAAUCUGGUUUGAAGGGCCACAUAGGGUUGUUGGAUUUCAGAACAACUUUAAUGCCAAAAUGGUCAUGCCCUCCGGUGUUUCAUGUCUGGCCCCUGUCUAUACAUAGUGGUUGAAAAGUAUUGUUUAACACUUCUAAAAUAAUAUCGCUCAUAAAUAGUCGCAAUAAAUAUUAGAAUAAAAUCUAGUGGUAAUAAUACUAGGUUUCGUCGAAGGAAAAUAAAAUUGUUAGAAGCGAAGCGCUGCCCGAGUUUGGAGUCAUCACUUAAACAAGUGAGUGCAUAGUUACUUUCAUCUUACACAUAGAUAUGAAGUAUUUAAUAUAAGCUACAUGUUAUGUGUGCAUAUUAUCUGUGUUCUUGAUAUUUAUGUUGGAUGAAUAAAAUAUACAUGUUUUAUUUGAUUUAAAAUGUAUAUGUAUUUUAUACCUAUAAUUAUCAUGGGUAAAGAUGGGUAGAUGAAAUAGAUGAUGAGCGAUGAAAUAAAAUGAUAAGACACCUCGAUGUUUAAGCUGACUUAGUCAUCAAGCAGAGUAUAAAUGAUGACCACAUAUUAUUUUAGACAGUCUAGAGGAACUCUGGGAGGCUCGUAACUUGUACGUGUUUGUGAACGAUGUGUUCACCGGUGUACUCCAUCCCUCUCAUGGUUGCCUUACUGACAUAUAUUGUUGAGGAAUCCCCUAAGAAGUAUUGUCAUCCUAAUGAUGAUCCUUAGGCUAGGUCCCUUGAAUUAGAUGCUUUAGGGACAACAACUGAGGAUAAUAGGAAUGAGUAAUCGGGUUGAAUGAUUGGAUGAAAUUAAUAAAGUUAAUUAUUAUGGGUUGAAAACCCUAUUUGCUCACCAAGAUCCCAAGCCUGACCCACUCAGUUUCAUGCAAUACAGGUAGUGGCACAAGAGCAUAGAUGCGAUGAUCUAAUGAGAUAUUAUGGAUUAUAAGCUAGUAUAAAUAAAUAGAAUGUUGUAAGCCCUAUGUUGUUUAUGCUUUUUGUAUGUAUUGACAAUGACAUCCAGAGGUUUUUAAUAUAAUGAAAUACAUUUCUUCGGAAAUGCUUUGAAAAAUUAUUUAUCAUAUUUUUGGGAGCACAUUCCACAACAUUUUCUUCAAAAAAGGUACUCUGCUUUUUAAAUAAAGCAUAAAAAAUCGAUCUAUUCUGGCCGUGAAAUUAGGGAUGUCACUGAUGGGUUUUGAGCACUACAUCAUUCCUAUGGUGUACAUGCAAACCCUAAUAACUUUGGAUCUAGUUUGUCUAAUGACCAAGCAAUUGAUAAUCCAAAGCCAUAAACCCUAGAUCUAAUAAACAAUAACUGUAAUUAGGGUUUAGAUCUUACCUUUGAUUGUUAUAUAGCAAUAACAAUCAAUCCAUGGCUUCAAAAAGCUUAGUGCCUCAAGUGCUGCACCUCUAAUUCAGUCACAAACACCACUAAGCAACUUAGAUGAAGAGGGAGGAGAGAGGAGGCACUAAAAACGGAUGGAAACCCUAAAGGAAAUCUUAGCUACGUUUUUGGGUCUCAAGGGUUCUUUAAAUAGGUAAGCAAUUAGGGUUAUCUAACAAGGAAACCCCAAUUUGACUGCUUAAGCCCUAAGUAGCCCAUGGACCCCUUCUAGAACAUGCCUUGGAUGAUUUCUAAUGGGCUUCCCCAUAGAAUUCAUCCAACCUAUUAUUCCAAGGUGAUCCAUAGCCCAAUUGCAAUUAUCUUAUAAUUACAAUUCUAGUCCCCUAAGUGUAAUUAAUCUCUUUUAGCCAAAAAAAAAUUAAUUCUUUAUUAAUUCUUGACUAAUACUAAUUAAACAAUAUGAUUUCUCCUUUAAUAUAUUAUUCUCAUAAUAUAUUAAUAAAUCAUAGUUAAUCCUUUCUCUCCUCAAUUCAUCCUAUAUAUUGCUAUGGUGAAGGCAACCCAAAAGGACCAUGCUCAUAAUCGGGUCAAGUACAUACCAAAAUAGUUAUGGACUUAGACACUAAUCCAACAGUCUCCCACUUGGAUAAGUCUAAUAACUAUUUUGCAUAACUUCAGAACCUAAUCAUCAAUUGUAGCUUUCAAAGCCGAUGUCAACUCUGAUCUUAUCAGAUAGCGUGUCCUUUAGAUUAGGGAUUAUAUAUUCCUCCAUUCUCAAGAUAUCGUAUAAACAUAAGACAUGAAUUUCGAUCAUUCUCUCUAUACUGUUUCCCGACUUCUAAUUUAUGACGACUGAAAAUAGACUACAAUUAAAUACAUCAACUUAGUCCAGGCUUGGCCAAGCGCUUAGGUGUCAUCACUAAAUCAUCGAGAGGCCCACAUAUAUCGCUUUUAUCCCAUUUUGGGUAAAAGGAAUGGAUAAACUUCGACUCAAAUGCUCGUUUUCUCUUACUCAUCAAAUCACACACAACAAUAUGUUUUAUAACACCAAGUUACUGGUGUGUUUACAUAUUAUCAAUGUGCAACCGAACAACAGAUAACAACUCACACGUCUCGGUUUCAAGAAUAUACAAUAUUAUCGUCUCACAAUCACUCGUGAUAAAAUCCAUGAAGUGAUUCAGGUGAGUAUGUGUUUAAUCCAAUACUUUAAUCUUAUCAAAGCACUCAUGAGCUCUGCAGUAAACUUGUGCUACAUCUAAACACUUUAGACAAUCUACAGACAGAUUCAUGACAGUCUUCCUUCAUACCUACUUCCAACAUAUGACCGACUGUGGGGGUUUCAAUAACCCAGUUAUUCUGGAAGUCAAAACAUGCAAAGUGAAACACAAUGAUAAUAUUUAAUCCUAUAUGGCCCCAAAACUUUUGAGUGUAAACAAAACAAUUUUAUUUAAACACCAUAUUGAUUACUCAUUAUUCAUUGUUUUCUGUUUCAGAAAAUCAACUUAUUACUCAAAUUACAACAAUAGUUGUCCCAUGCACCAAGCAUGCACACUAUGUUUCCUAUGGACCUUACUUUAUGAAAUAGAUCAAUUGAAAAACUUUUCUAAUGAUGCUUAUUUCACAAUUACCAGUCCUUAUCAUUAGUGUAAGAACAUAAGGUUCUUGCCACUAUUAGAAUAUGCUAGAUUUUAACAUUUUAUGCAACGAUCCUUUCACAAAGUCAUAGUACAAAAGUCACUAAGACUUGGCCAAUAAAAUUACAAAGUACUCUAUCAGAAAUUGCUACAAGACAAUUCCAUAGAUGCGAAGUCUCACAUUCAAAGUACAUUCCUUUGAACAUCCUUCUUGCAUAAAAGUUUCUAUCUAGUCAUAGACUCUCAAUAUCUAACUCCCAAUAGGGAAACAUUUCCAUAUUUGCCAUAUGACAACUCAUUCUUAAUAGAAUCUUAUCUAUUCAUAAUAAUGUCGAUAUAGUCCAUCCAGUACCAUAUUUCCAACUACUCCCAAGCGACCAGUCCUCAGUGAACUUCGGAUCGUCCUUUGAUAGUUGUUUAAUUAUUUUAGUCAAAACCGAUUCUAGUCCUUUUUCCCUCUUAAUGCGCUAGACAUUUGGAAAAUUUCAAAAUGGUCAAAUAUUAUAGAUAUGAUACUUUAUCAAUCUUAUGUCAUAAUAGUUUAUGUGUCACGUUCUCUCAAUUCGAACUAUGAAGAGGGAUGUCGUAAUCAUAAUUGAAAUUUAAGAACACACUAUGUAUCCUUUGACUAAAUUAAUUAAAAUUUCUCAAUCUAAGCUUUAGAUUUUGAAACGAAGUAUAAUAUUCUCUCCCUUAAUUAUAGCAAAACAACUUUUCAACCCAUGCAACUUUGCAAAUUGAGUCUUUGUUUUUCUAUAAUUAAUAUUGCUAACUUGCAAUACUUGCCAUAAUAAUCAUACAAGCAUAACACUUAUGCUCCCACUAUCAUGAUUAUUAUUAUCAUAUAAGCAUAACACUUAUGCUCCCACUAGCUGUGACAUGUAUUCAGAAAACAGUUGAACUUCCAGAAAACAAUACCUAUUGAAUUUAUGAGGUUCAUAUUUCUAAUACCAGAUGCAUCGAUAAGCCUUUAUCUAAGCUUCUUACACUUAUACACAUUUGCCCUAGAUAGCUCAUAUGUAUCUUAACUAAUUCAGAACUUAUAUCAAUAAGUCCUAAAUGUUAGACUAAUUGUCAAAUCUCACAAUUCAAACUAUGGAAAGGGAUACCGUAACCAUAAUCGAAUUUGAGAAUACAAUUUUCACAAUUGUUAUCUUCUUAAAAUCUCCCUUAGUGAAAGCAUUUCUUCACAGUCAUUUUCAUGAAGGAGGGAAUCUUAUGACACUUAGAUUUUAUGGUGUAUGAGUUCCGAUCCAUGUGAAUUUUCCAAAACCAAAGUUUGCGACAAAUCCAAUUUCAUAUGGACUGAACUUUCUUAAUCUUGCCUUAUGGUAACACGAGUGCCCACCAUGUCUUCCAAGUAGUUUAGCAACUUAUCCUUACAUAUCAAUGUACUUUCCAUCCAUCAAGGUGCUUUGUCUUUAUGCAUUCAAAUGAGAAUUCACAAAACUCACAUGCAUAAUUAACUCAAUUGGAAUGGCACAGAAAACAAAAUAAUGUCAACACGAUAGGUUUUAAACCUCAUGUCGUGUGCUAGUGGUGAUCGAUAAGGUUUAUUCUUGAUUUUUUCUUGAAACUUUUUCAAGAUCAUUAAAACUCCCACUGACCUCUUGACAUAUAUGAUUCUCUUUGUAAAGAAAUAUUUCCUGACAAACAAAUAUUCAAGAGUUAGUGUAGUUAUUAUCAAGACAAAACACAUCACAAAAUUGGUCCUAAUUGGUCUUUGUCUUAUCCAAGACAUCACAACUUAUCAAUUUCAAAUGUGAAAGAAUAAGAAAACUUUUCCAAAUUCCACAUUUGAUGAGUGUUAUAAACCUACUUAAGACUUGCCACUCAAUUCACAAUCUUGGAGUAUAACUCUAAGACAUGAUAUUGGAAUAAAGUAUGAUUAACUUCUUGAUUUAACCAUUUCCACAAUUCUCGAUUCUUCUUCUUAGACAUACAAAUGCACUAAGAGUCACUUAGAGAAUCAAUUGAGAUAUGGUUCUUAAUCAAUUAAGACUUAUCAUAAAACAUGAUAAAAGGUACUCUCCCAUCCUUUUAGAACAGAGAAACUUUUAUCUUUCUGCCUACUUGAUUCUUCUUUAUUCGUUCUGCUAUUAAUUGAAACCAUUUCAAUCAAAUCAGAGUUACGCUUAUUCUUUCAAGUAUAAUCAUAUUUACUAAACUUUAGUAAAUCAUGACAAAUAUAUUUAUCACUCUUGUGGUGGAAUUGAACAAUGGACAACCUAGCGUACUCGAUCUCCUAGUCCUUCACUUGACAAUUUGUCAAAGAAUUAGUCUAAUUUCCAAAUGUGAAAGUUUUUCAUUCAUCACACAAUGCAGGUUGCAUGAUUCCAUGUUUCUGUCCAAUUGAAACUUGGGCGAUGAGAAACCCUCCCUAUUUGGUAAAUUCUUGAAAUUUCACAGAUAACAAAAUCAAGAAUCACAUCCAAUUCAACAUUGCUAAAAUUAGAAAUACAUAAACAUCCAUUUUCACAUAUGCCAUUGCAAAGAUAAAUAAAUAAGACGAAAUCAAAAAUUCAUUUUAUUGCAGAAAAACUUGUCCUUACAAUGCAAUUCAAAUGAAAACUAUGCUAUUUCAAUUUCUAAGCAAUCUAUUCUAACUCUAAAUAGUAGCUCAAAAUUCUGAUCUUCAAGCAAUGCGAUUGAAAUCCAUUUCUUCACGAUCAGAUUCAGCUUACUUCUUCCCUUAAGCUUCCUCUCUUUUCUUCGAUCCUACAAAACAUCAAUAUGUAAUCUUAUCACAUCAUGUAUUAAGAAUCUAGAAUAGGAACAUAAAGAUUUAGUUAAUGGAUUUUACCUGAAGUAGAGCCGAACGUCUUGACUCUCCCAUCUUUUAGAUCUCUCAGGUAAAUAGGGCAGCUUCGUCUCCAAUGCCCCUUCUCUUGGCAAUAAAAGAAAAUGGACUCUUUUGGAAUGGCACAAGGACCUAUCUCAGAGUUUACCUUUUCUGGAUCUCCAAUGUCACCAUUUUCAAUGUCCAUUGAAGUUUGGGAGUUUCAUUCACCAGACAAAUUUGCUUGACCACCAUGACAAAUCAUUGCUAAUUCAGCAGCUAUAAGCAAAUUGGUGAGAUCAGUGAGGGUCACGUCGUGGUCCAUCAUAUAGUUCUCUCUAACGAACUCACUAUACGAUUCAGGAAGUGACUGAAGAACCCAGUCAAUAGCCAGCUCACUUGAAAUCUUGACACCCGAUAUCCUUAACCUAUCAAUGUGUGACUUUAUCUCUAAGAUGUGUGCACACACAUGUUUCCCAUCUUCGUGUUUACUUGCCAAAAGGGCUUGAGUGAGCUUCAAAUUUUCAAGCCUUCGAACUUGUGGGUUAGGGAGAACAAUUGGAGCAGGUGGAGGAAGUGAAGCAUGAUUUCUUGUUCCUCGAUCAUAUUGUGGAAUAUCAUCUUCGUUUGGAAAGCUUGUUCCAUGGGAUUUGGGAAGACCAUGAUUGUCUGAAAGGCUUAGAAUAAUGGUUUGGUUUAGGUGUUGCGGUUAGUGAUAGGGGUACAUUUGUAAUUAGCUUUUUGUCAGUUUACGGUUGUAACUGAGUUUACGGCCGUAAACACCUUACGGCUGUAAACUCCUCACGGUCUUGGGUGUCUAUAUAUAUAGGGUUGUAUCAGACGUAAUGUUAGUGGAUGCCUUUAGUAUUUUGCGGUUCCACCAAGUUGUAUCAGACGUUUACGGUUAUAAAACGUAUGCAAGCUUGGUUUGUUACUUCUUUGUUUCUUAUUUCGCUUUGUGUGAUUGUUAUGUCCUUUUGAUCACUGGAAAGAUCUGAUUUUGAACCUUACAAUUGGUAUCAGAGCGAGACCGACGUCAAAGGCAAUCUACAGUCGCUAUUUGGUGCUAGUUCACGUGUUUCAGAAAAGGGGAUUUAUUGUUACAUUCAAAAAUCAACGAUUAUGUGUUCUCGGUCCGAGCUUACGGCCGUAAACACUGUGUUCACGGCCAUAAACCAAUCAACUUCAUCAACCGUGAAUACUAGAUUCUUGGGCAGUAAACUCUAUUUUGGUGCAAGUCGAUUAAUCUUGAAGACCGUAAUUUAAUCACAUUAAAGUAAUUGAAAGUAAAAUAAAUUAAUUCCUUGAAUCUCUGUUAAAGUUUCUGAAACGAAAAAUCACUAAGUUCACGGCCGCAAACUAUUUCUCAGCCGCAAACUACUUCUCAGCUGCAAACUCUUUUUCAGCAAUAAACGAUUUCUGGCAGUGAACUCCUUUUCAGCAGUAAAUUAAAUUUCUCUUAACAGAUAAUUUUAAUUCACUUUUGAAUCUUAAUUGACUUUAACUUAAAAAUGGAAUCACAAAAUCAAAACCAUUUUCAAGAGCUCGAUGUUGUGAUGGGAACCACCACGCGAAUUCCAAGGCUUAUGUCUGCUGAUGGGUUCCCUGAGUGGAAAUAUAGAAUUGAGAAAUACAUAAAGAUGAAAGACUUCAAGAUUUGGAUAUGUGUCAUAAAGGAUCCAGUCAGAAUCACCACUACAGUUGGGGGGCAGAUGGUUGACAAGAAAAUUGAGAACUACACUGAUGAAGACUUUAAGAGUGUAGAAGAACAGGAAAAGGCAUUGGCCAUUUUGACUAUGGCCCUAUCUCCAGACAUUGCUCAAGGGUUCAGAGAGUAUACUUCUUCUAAAGCACUGUGGGAAGCCCUUAUUGAGGUAUAUGAGGGAAAUGAAGACACGCGAGAGAGUCGCCAAGAUAUGCUGAGGCAAUGAUUCAACAUGUUUAACUAUGUGCCUAAAGAGACUCUUGUGGCUCAACUACAGCGGUUCACCACUCUUAAUAAGAAAAUAACUGUGGCAGGGAUCUUCUAUACAAAGUCAAAAAUAAAUAAGAAGCUGCUAAAUGCCCUCCCAAAAUCUUGGGACAUGAAUGUAGCGGUCAUUAAGAAGACUAAGGAUCUCAAUCGCCUUUCUCUAGCUGAAGUGAUGGCUGUCAUCAAAGCAUGUGAUAUUGAUGACAAGCAGCGAGAGAUCAAUCAUGUGAACUCCUACUCAGCUGCCAAUCUUGGCAUUUCAACUAACAAUGCUCUUUCUUCUUUCUCCUAUUCUUCUGCAGGUUUAUCUCUCAAUGCUUUUCCUCAAGCUCAGACACUCUCCCAUCCUUCGGCUUCCUCUGCAUCAGUCAUGCCCUACCCACAAAAUCAAUCAUUCGUGUCUGCUCAAACUGCUUCAUCUUCAAAUGUUGCUUCUUCUUCAAAAGGAAAACAGGGUGAUGAAAACCUUGUUUUUGCAUCAGGGCUAGUUAAUUGCUACAAUGCACUUGUAGCCGGGGAGCUUCCACCUCAAUUGUCAUUUGCAGAUCUUGAUCAAAUUCAUCCUGAGGACGUUGAGGAGAUGGAUAUCACAUAGCAAACUGCCAUGGCAGUCUUUAGGGCAAAACAAUUUGCCAAAAAGACAGGGAAGAAUAACUAGGGAAUAAAUGCUGAUAAGAAAGUUGGAUUUAACAAGGGAAAGCUUCGGUGCUUCAAUUGCCAUGAGCCAAGGCACUUUGCUAAUGAUUGCCCACAUCCUGAUAAAAGAGUUAAUAAUGACAAAACAAUGGUUGCAGUUGGGAACAGCCGAAGCAUUGGUCAAGCAAACAAUGAGAAGGCUAUGGUUGCGCAAUCUUUCGAUUGGGAUGAUCAGAUACAUGCUCUCAACUUAUCUGGACCCAAAAAUGCUCAUCUGGCACAUGUAAGGGAUGAUGCUCCAACACAGAUUGUAGCAGCUGAAGACAGUGUGAUGGAAUUACAGUUUGCUUUGAUGGUAUCCUCUUCUCAUGAACCUAAUUCAUCCAAGGUAAGUCUUCCAUCAUGUUAUCAGGCUUGCAUUGAUUAUGUAAAAACUUUACAUGACAAAAUUGAGACGUUAGGCAAUGAAGUACAAAAUCUUAGAAUUCUUCGUGAACUUAAUGAAAAAUUAAUAAGAGACGUAGAAGACCUUAGAUAUGAAGGGUACCAACUUUGAAAAGGACAAAAACCACUAAAAGCUCAAUUGGAAUCGAAAAUUAAGGACUUUAGAAGACUCCAGGAAGACUAUAGUAACAAAUGUGAAAACUAUGAUUAUGUGGCCAAACAAAAUGCUGAGCUAGUGGCUGAAGUUGAAUCUUUGAAAGGAAAGUUUGAAACCGCCAAACUUGAUGUUAGAAAAUAUGACUUUUCAAGUGAGGUGGUUGCAAAUAUGAUAGACCAAAGCAUGCAGUUUAAAAGAAAUCAAUCAAAAGGUCUAGGGUAUAAUCAUGUACCCCCUUCCUUCAAUCAUUCAUAUGUGCCAAAGCCUUUGUCUAAAGAAGAGAUUGCCAAUGAAUCAUUUAUGGUUUAUGGCAAGCCCUUCGGUUUUAUUUCGGGAGGAUUUUUUAAUGUUGAAAGUACUAACAUUUCUACUUCUCCUGCAGAUCAAUCCUUGAAUCAGUCAAAGCACGAAGUUGAAGGAUGUGUUUCUGAAAAUAAAAUCGAGUCUAAACCUGAAGCUUUAGUUUUUAAUAAAGACAAUACGUUUUCUGAUAUUUCUAAAGCCAAUGUUUUUUGUGAUGGUGUUUUUAUGACUUCUGAUACUGGUUUGAAUGUUUUGAAAAAGUCUAGUUUGAACAUUGUGAUUGACAAUUCUAAUGUUUGUGAUAAAGAUGUACCACUAAUCUCACAACCCUCUCCAUCCAAUGCACCCUCACUUUCCUCACAACCUAAUAAUGUUGCUUGCUCUUGUGAGAAAAGCAAGGGUGCAGGUAGGGAAAACAAAUAUGAUCAAUGUAGUACAAGCUAUAACAAUAAUAAGCAGAUUUGUUUUAAUUGCGGUACUAGUGGUCAUAUUGCUAGAAAUUGUCAAAAUCGUAUGUUUGUGAGUUAUAACCUACCAAGAGGAGAGAACGAGUUCAGAGGAAGGUCUUUAAAUAGAACUCCUCUAGAAGUCAUUCUCGAAAUAAUGAUUGGGCAGAUGAACGGAAUAGAAAACGAGCUGUUUUUCAAAGACAUAAAAGGUUUUUUAAUCACCAUGUCCCAGGCAGUCUGCCAAAAACAAGCACAGCCAAGCCAAGGUCAAUCUCCACACAAAGCCACAGUGGGUCUUCAACAAACUCUGGUAGAAGUCACACAGGCGUUAAGCAGACUAAUAAACACUCCAUGACUAAAUCAACUGGAACAUUUAGAAAACCUAAUUAUAAAUGGCUGCCUAAACCUGCUCUCAAUACAUCAUUUGUGUCCUCAGAAAAAUCUAAAUAUGACAAAUCUGAAGAGGCAUCAGGAUCACCCAGGAAGGUCAUGAACUAGGUGCCCAAAUCUAAUUAAACCCACACAUUUUGCAGGGACAGUUGCGGGGAAAUGUCGUCAGACCCUGGUUCGUCGACAACGGCUGUUCCCGACAUAUGAUGGGAGAUAUCACCCAACAACAUAACAUUCAAUCAUUUAAUGGGUAUAUGUCUCUUUUGCGGGUGGAAAUGCUGGUAAAAUCACUCAAAGAGGAACCGUCUCAAAUGGAGUUUUAAGUUUCGAAAAUGUCAAUUUUGCUCCCGGGUUGAAACAUAGUUUGUUAAGCGUUUCUCAGAUCUGUGACAAGGGCUAUUCUACGCAUUUCACUGACAAGGAAUGCAUGAUUCUAAAGCCAGGCUUUGUCAUCCCAAAAGAAUGGAUUCUUGUAAAAUCAAAAAGGGAUGGGAACGCCUAUAUCAUCGAUAUGAAUAGCAAUCUUCCAGAACAGUUACGUGUCUUUUCUCCAAGAUCUCCGAGCAAACUGCCAUGCUGUGGGACCGAAGAUUAGGUCAUGCUAACGCCAAGAACCUAAAUCGUCUUGCGACGAAUGAGAUGGUCCAUGGGCUGCCCGUCAAGGACUUCAUUUUGUUUGAGAAGUGUGCGUCGUGUGCUCAAGGAAAGCAUCAUAGAAAGUCGUCUUGGGUUUUGAGCAAUCUAACACUUCCUAAGUGUGCACGCAACCCUAAUAAACCUUGGAUCUAUGUUUUCUUAUAAAAUACAUGCAAAUAAUAACUUCCAAGGUUUCUUCCUAACUAGCAUAGCAUAAGGAUUAUGAAUCAUAAAAGUACUAGUAGAAAUACAUACCUUUUGAUGAUGGUUGAUUGUUUGGAGUUUGAGAGCCAAGCACCAAUAGUGUGAAUGCCUCAAAUGGAAUCACAAAUCACCACAAACACUUGGAAAACUUUGAGAGAGUAGUAUACUUUCUUGUGGAAUCGGCCACCACUAAGUCUCACACAACUAGAGUGUCAUUUCUUGCAUCAUAUGCUUCUUUAUAUAGUGUGCAUGGUUAGGGUGAAACCCUAAUAACCCAUGUCUUUUCCUUUCCAAGGAUCCAUGGGUUAAAAGCUCCAUGGAUCAUCCAUGGACUUCCAUAUUAGCUUAGCCCAUUAACAAAUGAGUAUUAGCCCACACUAUAUAAAAUAUAAUAGCCCAUAAUUUAAUCAGUCUUCUUUUUAAUCUCUAAAUUAAUUCAUAAUUAAUUUAAGACUAAAACUAAUUAAAUAACAUGACUUCAUAUUAAUAUAUUAUAACUUAUAAUAUAUUAAUAAAUCGUAAGUAUACAAUUCUCAUAAAAUUAUCCAUAAAUCGUUUGGGUGAAGUGCAACCCAAAUGGACCAUGCCGGGUCGGGUCAAGUAUGUACCAAAUAAGUUAUGGACUUAGACACCUUAUCCAACAGACUCCCACUUGGAUAAGUCUAAUAACUAUAUUUGCGUAUGUUACUUCAGGAACCAACCAGCAAUCGUAGCUCUCGAAAACUCUGUUGAACUAUGAAGCGCCAUUUUAGAUAAGUGAUCAUAUAAUCCUCUGUUCUCAUGAUAUCAGCCGGACAAAUACAUGGAACAACGUCGUACUUAUUGUCCAGCAGUUUGUUUCCCGAUUUUCGAUUUGUUUGACAAAGAACUUAAUCGAACACAUCAAUUUAGUUCUGACCGGCCGGUACAUAGGUCACAACAAAAUCAUCGAGGGGCCCAGAUAUCGCUUCUAUUUCUAGAAGGAACAGAUAAACUUCGACUCAUAUGCUUGUUCUACUACUUGUUGAAUUGUACACAAAGGCACGUUUUAUAACAUCAAGUUACUGAUGCGUUUACGUGCAAUCAAUGCACAACCAACUCAUAGGUAACAACUCAUAUCUCUAGGUUUGAAGAUUUAUAUGAUAUUACCGUCUCACGAUCACUCGAGAUAAAUUCCAUGAAGUGAUACAAGUGAGCGUGGGUUUAUUCCAAUACUCAUAACUUAUGAGCACUCAUGAAUGUUGUAGCAACCAUUGCUAUGACUAAACCCAUUUAGCCAUCUACAAACUCGAUUCAUGACAGUCUUGAUUCAUACCUACUUCCAACAUAUGAACGACUGUGGAGUGUUUAAAUAACUUAGUCAUUCGGAAAGAAUAACCUAGCUAUUUUGGAAGUCAAAACAUGCAAAGUGAAACACAAUAAUAAUCGAAUCCAAUAUGGUCUCAGAACCCUUUUGAAUAUAAAUAGAACCACCUUUUAUUUAUCACCAUAUUGAUUACACAUUAUUCAUUGUAUAAUGUUUCAAACAAUCAACUUAAGACUUGAAUAAAAACAACAGUCGUCCCAUGCUCCUAGCAUGUACACUUUGUUUUUCUAAACAAUAGUUAUGCCAUACUCCAAGUAUGCACACUAUGUUUGUCUAUGAUCCUUACAUUGUGAUGUAGAUCAAUUGAACAUGAUUCCAAUGAUACUCAUUUCACAAUCCCAAAUCCUUAUUGUAAAUGUGAGAAUCCCCGAUUCCUAUCAUUUACCAAAAAAACUGUUAGAUUUUAAACUUUUAUGCAAUGUUCCUCUUGUAAUGAUUAUGCACAAAGUCACCAAAACCUUGUCACCAGUCAUUACAGAGUAUUCCAAAGAAGGUCAACUUCUAUGGAACGGAAGUCUCAUAUUCAAAGUACAUUGCUUUGAACAUCCUUCUUGCAUUAAGGUUUUCUAAUCUUACAUAGAUUGAAUAACUUCCACCUAUGGAGACAUUUCCAUAGUCCCAUUUUGACUAUCACUUCCGAACAAGAGUUACUUCUUUUCAGAAUAUGUCAAUAUGGUCCUUUCCGACAACUUACAUCAUACUUCCAACUUUCCCUGAGCAACCAAUCUUUGGCGAACCUCAGAUUGUCCUCGACAAUUGCUUAAUCACUUUAGUCAUAUCCAGUUCUAGACUUUUCCCUUCUCAAUGCCUUAAGCAUUUGGAAAAUUUAGAAAAGAUGAAUAUUAUAGCACAUGCAAUCGAUCCUAUAUCCGAAGCAUAUGGGACACGAUUCAUGAUGUUUGACAUAAAGACAUGAUACUAGACCAGUCUUUUGCUACAAUAUUUUUUAUUUGCCAUGUUUUCAAAAUUUAACUAUGAAGAGGGAUGCCGUAAUCAUAAUCGAAUUUUGAAAACGCAAUAUAUAUAGAAUUUCUUCAAGUUGAACCAUUCCAACAUAAAAUUCAUAUAUAUAUUCUUGACUAAAGAUGAUUAAAAUCUCAAUCUAAGCUUUAGAAUUGAAAUGAAGUAUAAUUUCCUCUCCCUUAAUUAUAGCAAAACAACUUUUCAACCCCUGCAACUUCACGAAUUGAAACUUUGUUUUCUAUAAUUAACAUUGCUAACUUGCAACACUAAACGUAAUAAUCAUGCUCCCACUAACAUGAUGAUUAUCAGCAUAACACUUAUGCUCCCACUAGCUCUGACAUAUUUCCAGAAAUCUGCUGGACUUCUGAAAUUUAGAUUCAUACACCCUUUCUUAGAUAGCUCACAUGUGUGUCUAAACAAUUUUCAGAACUAUGAAAAGGGAUGCCGUAAUCAUAGUCUCAAUUGCUUAGGCAUUUGCCAUUUCUCACAAGUCCAUGUUAGUGUGCCGGUUAACCACACGCGCUCCACUAACGACUUUUGAAAAUGCAAAUAACACAAUUGAUAUCUACGUAAAAUCUACUUAGUGAAAGCGUUUCCUCACCAUCAUUUUCAUGAAUCGGAGAGAAACCUUAUGACACUUAGAUUUUAUAGUGUAUGAGUUCCUAUCCAUGUGAAUUUGUCAAAACCAUAAUCACAAGAUAAGGUUAGUGACAAAUUCAGCCUUACAUGGAUUAAACUUGUUCAAUCUUAGUUUCUUGUCACC
Molecule: long non-coding RNA, 18219 nt
Filed under: Lactuca sativa (garden lettuce)
Lineage: Eukaryota; Viridiplantae; Streptophyta; Magnoliopsida; Asterales; Asteraceae
Description: long non-coding RNA (LSAT_LNC003998)
Source: RNAcentral